CAACCGUCCACGGGAGAAUCCGGCCGCAAGGCCGGUGCCGAAGGAGCAACCGCCCCGGUAAACUCUCAGGCAGCAAGGACCGCGGACGGACA
This 92-nucleotide non-coding RNA is filed under the name Rhodovulum sulfidophilum. RNAcentral describes it as "Glycine sequence". It matches the Rfam family "Glycine riboswitch aptamer". Rfam says of the family: This family represents the bacterial glycine riboswitch. Glycine riboswitches usually consist of two metabolite-binding aptamers domains with similar structures in tandem. The record is from RNAcentral. Lineage: Bacteria; Pseudomonadati; Pseudomonadota; Alphaproteobacteria; Rhodobacterales; Paracoccaceae.